UGCCUACGGGACGCAGCAGUUGGGAAUAUUGGACAAUGGAGGAAACUCUGAUCCAGUGACGCCGCGUGAAGGAAGAAGGUCUUCGGAUUGUAAACUUAUUUUAUCAGGGACGAAGCAAGUGACGGUACCUGACGAAUAAGCCACGGCUAACUACGUGCCAGCAGCCGCGGUAAUACGUAGGUGGCAAGCGUUAUCCGGAUUUACUGGGUGUAAAGGGCGUGUAGGCGGGACUGCAAGUCAGAUGUGAAAACCACGGGCUCAACCUGUGGCCUGCAUUUGAAACUGUAGUUCUUGAGUACUGGAGG
Molecule: ribosomal RNA, 305 nt
Filed under: uncultured bacterium
Lineage: Bacteria
Description: bacterial SSU rRNA
Rfam family: Bacterial small subunit ribosomal RNA
Source: RNAcentral